Molecule: ribosomal RNA, 460 nt
Filed under: uncultured bacterium
Lineage: Bacteria
Description: partial 16S ribosomal RNA
Rfam family: Bacterial small subunit ribosomal RNA
Source: RNAcentral
CCUACGGGAGGCAGCAGUGAGGAAUAUUGGUCAAUGGGCGCGAGCCUGAACCAGCCAAGUAGCGUAAAGGAUGACUGCCCUACGGGUUGUAAACUUCUUUUAUAAAGGAAUAAAGUGAGGCACGUGUGGCUUCACUGAGAGUACCCGGAGAAAAAGCAUCGGCGAACUCCGUGCCAGCAGCCGCGGUAAUACGGAGGAUGCGAGCGUUAUCCGGAUUUAUUGGGUUUAAAGGGUGCGUAGGCGGAUCGUUAAGUCAGUGGUCACAUUGAGGGGCUCAACCCCUUCCCGCCAUUGAAACUGGCGUUCUUGAGUGGAAGAGAGGUAUGCGGAAUGCGUGGUGUAGCGGUGAAAUGCAUAGAUAUCACGCAGAACCCCGAUUGCGAAGGCAGCAUGCCGGCUUCCGACUGACGCUGAAGCACGAAAGCGUGGGGAUCGAACAGGAUUAGAUACCCGAGUAGUC